This 253-nucleotide ribosomal RNA is filed under the name uncultured bacterium. Its description in RNAcentral is "partial 16S ribosomal RNA". It matches the Rfam family "Bacterial small subunit ribosomal RNA", at positions 524 to 776 of the family's 1533-position model. The record is from RNAcentral.
GACAGAGGGUGCAAACGUUGUUCGGAAUUACUGGGCGUAAAGCGCGUGUAGGCGGCGUGGCAAGUCGGGUGUGAAAGCCCUCAGCUCAACUGAGGAAGUGCGCCCGAAACUGCUGUGCUUGAGUGCCGGAGAGGGUGGCGGAAUUCCCCAAGUAGAGGUGAAAUUCGUAGAUAUGGGGAGGAACACCGGUGGCGAAGGCGGCCACCUGGACGGUAACUGACGCUGAGACGCGAAAGCGUGGGGAGCAAACAGG